This 68-nucleotide transfer RNA is filed under the name Caperea marginata (pygmy right whale). Its description in RNAcentral is "transfer RNA-Trp". The record is from RNAcentral. Lineage: Eukaryota; Metazoa; Chordata; Mammalia; Artiodactyla; Neobalaenidae.
AGGAGUUUAGGCUAAACCAGACCAAGGGCCUUCAAAGCCCUAAGUAAGUAUAAUUUACUUAACUCCUG